UACGAGGGGGGCGAGCGUUGUUCGGAAUUAUUGGGCGUAAAGGGUGCGUAGGCGGUUCCGCAAGUCCUGUGUGAAAUCUUCGGGCUCAACUCGAAGUCUGCACGGGAAACUGCGGGGCUUGAGUGUGGGAGAGGUGAGUGGAAUUCCCGGUGUAGCGGUGAAAUGCGUAGAUAUCAUUUGGAACGCCAAUGGUGAAAACAGGUUGCUGGGAGUGUGCUGACACUGAGACACGAAAGCCAGGGGAGCAAACGGG
Molecule: ribosomal RNA, 253 nt
Filed under: uncultured bacterium
Lineage: Bacteria
Description: partial 16S ribosomal RNA
Rfam family: Bacterial small subunit ribosomal RNA
Source: RNAcentral